CUCUCAAGGCAGGGGGAUGAGGAAAAAAAUGAGAUUUUGGAAAUACAGUGACUACUCAGCUCAUGACACAUGGUGGGCUCUGUGACUGUUUAUUGGAGGCAGAGCCUGUCCUUUAGCCCUGUUCAGGACUCAUCGUUGGGUGCUCUGGCUGACCAGCUGAACAGCCCAAGCAACACUUUGGUGGGACCCCUCCUACUGGCACCUGAGCAUAACAUGGAUGAAGGGAACAUUCUUCCAGCCCUGGAGGAGAAUGCUGAGCUCUUAAAGCACAGUGCCUGCUACGAAGCUCACUGAUAUACUAGCCUAAGUGUGUUCACUGGGCUCUUGAUAUCUGGUUCCGGUCCCCCGGUGAGGGAGGAUCACAGGCUAUCCAGGGGCCAGCCUAUGGGAAUCAUCUCUGAUGGAGACUUGCAAGUCCAAACAAGCCAGAAAAGAGUUAUUUCCCAUCCUCCUUUCUCAUCUUCUGGUACCCCAGUGCCCUCAU
Non-coding RNA from Manis javanica (Malayan pangolin), 484 nucleotides. The record is from RefSeq and is a predicted model, not a curated record. NCBI's taxonomy places the organism in Eukaryota, Metazoa, Chordata, Mammalia, Pholidota, Manidae.